AUUGAACGCUGGCGGCAGGCCUAACACAUGCAAGUCGAGCGGAUCGGCGGCCGCGUGCGUAAUGCCUAUGAAUCUGCCUGGUAGUGGGGGAUAACGUCCGGUACCGGGCGCUAAUACCGCCUACUCUCAGCUUAGCCUAGGUCGGAUUAGCUAGUUGGUGGGGUAAAGGCCUACCAAGGCGACGAUCCGUAACUGGUCUGAGAGGAUGAUCAGUCACACUGGAACUGAGACACGGUCCAGACUCCGACGGGAGGCAGCAGUGGGGAAUAUUGGACAAUGGGCGAAAGCCUGAUCCAGCCAUGCCGCGUGUGUGAAGAAGGUCUUCGGAUUGUAAAGCACUUUAAGUUGGGAGGCGUUACCAACAGAAUAAGCACCGGCUAACUUCGUGCCAGCAGCCGCGGUAAUUC
RNAcentral lists this ribosomal RNA (407 nucleotides) under uncultured bacterium. Its description in RNAcentral is "partial 16S ribosomal RNA". It matches the Rfam family "Bacterial small subunit ribosomal RNA", at positions 30 to 526 of the family's 1533-position model. The record is from RNAcentral.